This 707-nucleotide long non-coding RNA is filed under the name Medicago truncatula (barrel medic). RNAcentral describes it as "lncRNA gene6081". Lineage: Eukaryota; Viridiplantae; Streptophyta; Magnoliopsida; Fabales; Fabaceae. The record is from RNAcentral.
CCCACAUUGUUGUAUGCAGAAUGACCUCAUAACUCAUCAUAAAUGGUUAUAGAAACAAUAUUAAAUCAAAACACAAUUAAAUCAUGUGAAUCUUCCUUGAUAUCCUUCACUUUAGAGAGAGAAAAAAAAGGUUAAAUUCCUUACUAUGCAUUAUUAUUCUGUAGGAGUGGAUGUACCUUGAAGAGGAAAAGAAGUGACCAAGUUUCUUCUGUAGGCGUUGUUUGGCUUUGAAAGCAGUUUCAUCUAAGGUAGUAGUCAUUGAAGUCCAUGGUGCAUCCAAUGAUUCCUUUAGGUAAGAGUCUCUGUAGGUAGCAUAAUGUUCAUGUCUGUUGUGAUAAUGUUCUGAUCUUUUCCUUGGUGACAAUCCAACACCAGGUAGCCUACCAGCCAUUCACUCUUCUUUACCUAAGCUUAUUCUCAUCUCAAUUUAUUGCUUAGACCCACAAAAAAUAAUAAUGCAUCCAUGUUUUGAUUGAUGGUUGCGUGCUCUACUGGGACAAAUAUACAAUUUACCUCUUUGUAAAUACCAAAACUUAGAGGGGUCAAUUUUCAUGACUCUACAUGGACUUUUGCUAAUUAUUUAAAUUGUGUGAUUGAUAUUCAUGUGCACAUGACAUCAACAAUGCUUUGAUUUUGGCUUUUGGUGGGUUUGUAUGGAAGUGUAAUGUUCUAGGAUGUGGGAAAUUGGAAAUAUUUUUUUUUUUUUU